CAGCUGAGGAAACAACAGUGAAACCUUCAGAACCAGAAGCUGAGAAGCACUCAGAGGAAACUCAAAUCAAUGAAAUACCAGCUGAGGAAACAAUAGUGAAGCCAGAAUCAAAAGCUGAGAAACAUUCAGAGGAAACUCAAAUCAAUGAAAUACUAGCUGAGGAAACAAUAGUGAAGCCAGAAUCAGAAGCUGAGAAACAUUCAGAGGAAACUCAAAUCAAUGAAAUACCAGCUGAGGAGACAACAGUGAAACUUUCAGAAUCAGAAGCCGAGAAGCAUUCAGAGGAAACUCAAAUCAAUGAUAUACCAGCUGAGGAAACAACAGUGAAACCUUUAGAAUCAGAAGCUGAGAAACAUUCAGAGGAAACUCAAAUCAAUGAAAUACCAGCUGAGGAGACAGUGAAACCUUCAGAAUCAGAAGCUGAGAAACCUUCAGAGGUAAAUAACAAUCUAAAC
RNAcentral lists this long non-coding RNA (455 nucleotides) under Lotus japonicus. Its description in RNAcentral is "long non-coding RNA (LJAP_LNC001931)". Lineage: Eukaryota; Viridiplantae; Streptophyta; Magnoliopsida; Fabales; Fabaceae. The record is from RNAcentral.